GUUGGGUAGGGGAGCGUUCUGUAAGCCUGUGAAGGUGGCCUGUGAGGGUUGCUGGAGGUAUCAGAAGUGCGAAUGCUGACAUAAGUAACGAUAAAGCGGGUGAAAAGCCCGCUCGCCGGAAGACCAAGGGUUCCUGUCCAACGUUAAUCGGGGCAGGGUGAGUCGACCCCUAAGGCGAGGCCGAAAGGCGUAGUCGAUGGGAAACGGGUUAAUAUUCCCGUACUUGGUGUUACUGCGAAGGGGGGACGGAGAAGGCUAUGUUGGCCGGGCGACGGUUGUCCCGGUUUAAGCGUGUAGGCUGGUUUUCCAGGCAAAUCCGGAAAAUCAAGGCUGAGGCGUGACGACGAGGCACUACGGUGCUGAAGCAACAAAUGCCCUGCUUCCAGGAAAAGCCUCUAAGCAUCAGGUAACAUCAAAUCGUACCCCAAACCGACACAGGUGGUCAGGUAGAGAAUACCAAGGCGCUUGAGAGAACUCGGGUGAAGGAACUAGGCAAAAUGGUGCCGUAACUUCGGGAGAAGGCACGCUGACACGUAGGUGAAGUGAUUUACUCAUGGAGCUGAAGUCAGUCGAAGAUACCAGCUGGCUGCAACUGUUUAUUAAAAACACAGCACUGUGCAAACACGAAAGUGGACGUAUACGGUGUGACGCCUGCCCGGUGCCGGAAGGUUAAUUGAUGGGGUCAGCGCAAGCGAAGCUCCUGAUCGAAGCCCCGGUAAACGGCGGCCGUAACUAUAACGGUCCUAAGGUAGCGAAAUUCCUUGUCGGGUAAGUUCCGACCUGCACGAAUGGCGUAAUGAUGGCCAGGCUGUCUCCACCCGAGACUCAGUGAAAUUGAACUCGCUGUGAAGAUGCAGUGUACCCGCGGCAAGACGGAAAGACCCCGUGAACCUUUACUAUAGCUUGACACUGAACAUUGAGCCUUGAUGUGUAGGAUAGGUGGGAGGCUUUGAAGUGUGGACGCCAGUCUGCAUGGAGCCGACCUUGAAAUACCACCCUUUAAUGUUUGAUGUUCUAACGUGGACCCGUUACCCGGGUUGCGGACAGUGUCUGGUGGGUAGUUUGACUGGGGCGGUCUCCUCCUAAAGAGUAACGGAGGAGCACGAAGGUUGGCUAAUCCUGGUCGGACAUCAGGAGGUUAGUGCAAUGGCAUAAGCCAGCUUGACUGCGAGCGUGACGGCGCGAGCAGGUGCGAAAGCAGGUCAUAGUGAUCCGGUGGUUCUGAAUGGAAGGGCCAUCGCUCAACGGAUAAAAGGUACUCCGGGGAUAACAGGCUGAUACCGCCCAAGAGUUCAUAUCGACGGCGGUGUUUGGCACCUCGAUGUCGGCUCAUCACAUCCUGGGGCUGAAGUAGGUCCCAAGGGUAUGGCUGUUCGCCAUUUAAAGUGGUACGCGAGCUGGGUUUAGAACGUCGUGAGACAGUUCGGUCCCUAUCUGCCGUGGGCGCUGGAGAACUGAGGGGGGCUGCUCCUAGUACGAGAGGACCGGAGUGGACGCAUCACUGGUGUUCGGGUUGUCAUGCCAAUGGCACUGCCCGGUAGCUAAAUGCGGAAGAGAUAAGUGCUGAAAGCAUCUAAGCACGAAACUUGCCCCGAGAUGAGUUCUCCCUGAGACU
This 1615-nucleotide ribosomal RNA is filed under the name Salmonella enterica subsp. enterica serovar Hadar. RNAcentral's name for it is "bacterial LSU rRNA". It matches the Rfam family "Bacterial large subunit ribosomal RNA", at positions 1223 to 2822 of the family's 2925-position model. The record is from RNAcentral. Lineage: Bacteria; Pseudomonadati; Pseudomonadota; Gammaproteobacteria; Enterobacterales; Enterobacteriaceae.